Molecule: non-coding RNA, 106 nt
Organism: Xylariaceae sp. FL1019
Lineage: Eukaryota; Fungi; Ascomycota; Sordariomycetes; Xylariales; Xylariaceae
Source: the annotation of a GenBank genome assembly
GCCCAGGUGGUCUAAUGGCAAGAUAGCGCGGCCGUUAUGUUCUCGAAACUACAAUCUCGAGAACAUAGCGGUAGCGCAGACCGAGAUUCGAUUCCUGGCCCGGGUG